Long non-coding RNA from Passer domesticus (house sparrow), 1533 nucleotides. RefSeq lists it as uncharacterized. The record is from RefSeq and is a predicted model, not a curated record. Lineage: Eukaryota; Metazoa; Chordata; Aves; Passeriformes; Passeridae. The transcript has 5 exons.
ACCACCACUGGGCAUGAGAGGAAUAUGGUGAAACUCUGUAUUUAUUUCAGCAGCCUUGAUUACUAUAAUCGUAGAGUUGUUCCCCUUCCUUUAUUGAGGCUGCCCUUCCUCUGGCCACCCCAGACUUAGCCUGUGACAUUCCCUGCCUCAAAGGGGCACAUCUGCAUUAACAGGCUGUGACCAGAGAUUGCCCCAGGCAGCUGGUCCAGCUGGGCAUCCAAGUGACUACUCCUCCAUCACAGAUUUUAAAGUGGUCACAGUGAUUUUACCACGGAGUCACCGAAUCAUUCAGGAUAUUUAUUUCUGAGGUGAAGCAUGUAAUUGUUCAAUACAAUGAGAAUUUCAACAUCUUUAAGAGGAAGAGAUGCCUUGCAGAAGAAGUUUAGUCUGGAGGCAUUACUGGCAGCACUGCAAUGUGAGCUAUCCAAAUAAUGUCAGCUAGAAGUUUAAAGGAAGGAAGGGUGAAUUUCACAGUAGAGCAGAACAAAUCAACCUUGUCAGACUCCUCAGUGUGUAGAGCAUGAUUUCUUCAGCCAGAGCCUGAGGAACCUGAUUCACAGACACAGAAAAAGAGCAAGAAAGAUGUGUCAUAAUUGAAUCUACGUAAAAUCUGAUUGUAUCUUCUCUUCCUGUCUUUUUCUUUAAAACCUGAAGACUGAAGAGGGCUCUGCUGAAAGCCUUGCCUCUCACCAGAUCUUUUUUAAGUUGACAUGUGCCUCAAGCUCUGCACUACAGAACAGAAGCUCACAGUCCUCAGAGUGAAAUCUCAGCAGUUCUGGGGGCAAUUUCUGGGAAUUGUAAACUCUCAGACAGCACUUUGGCCUUCAUUAGACAGUUCAGGGAUGGUUUGAGUUUUCUUAUUAACUUAAUUGGCUUCCCUGGAAAUGUCAAUUUCUUCUCUGAAUUCACAGCAACCCUCCUGUCGCUGAUGGUGCCCCUGUUGUGACUGACUGUUUCAGAUGUAAGUCUGUUUUUGGAUCAGUAAUUAUAUGAUAAUGUGCUGGAUACCUCUGGAAGCAUAGCUGGAUAAAAACACAAACAAUAUUACCAGUGUUGCAGCUGAGAACUAAAAAAUAAAAAAGCAAAGUCAACUGGAAGUUUCCUCUGGUGGUCCAGCUGUUAAGGUGAGGAAUUAUCAGAACUGAGCUGGUUCAGACUGUAUUUUUUUCAGCAAAGAGGUACAAGACCAACUUUCUCACCAGUUUUGAGUUCUGUUUCCUUUUAUUCAGAUAGAAUUCUCCAGUACUGGCUUGUUGUACAGCUAAAAUUGACUGCAGCUUACCUAGUUACUGAAACAAAGGUCUCUGAGCUAGGAUUUUACUCUGAUUCUUAUAUUCCAUGGAUCUCAGCCACCCCAAAGUCAGGCCAGUUCCAUCUGCGUGGCAGGGAUGAGCCACCUCUAUUUCAAAUGCCAGAGGAAGUUCACUGAGAAUUCAGUUAGCACUCACCACAAAGCAAUCGCCCUCCAGAUCCUGCUCGGAGCUUUACAAAUACAUUUCUCAAGUUUCAGUUUAACCUUUGCUAUAAAUAUUC